UCCCCGAUCCUCGAACUGCGCCGGAGCAGC
RNAcentral lists this small RNA (30 nucleotides) under Bombyx mori (domestic silkworm). Its description in RNAcentral is "ovarian small RNA-7278". The record is from RNAcentral. Lineage: Eukaryota; Metazoa; Arthropoda; Insecta; Lepidoptera; Bombycidae.